The sequence is a small nuclear RNA, 154 nucleotides long. Its record names the gene U2. It matches the Rfam family "U2 spliceosomal RNA". Rfam says of the family: U2 is a small nuclear RNA (snRNA) component of the spliceosome (involved in pre-mRNA splicing). Complementary binding between U2 snRNA (in an area lying towards the 5' end but 3' to hairpin I) and the branchpoint sequence (BPS) of the intron results the bulging out of an unpaired adenosine, on the BPS, which initiates a nucleophilic attack at the intronic 5' splice site, thus starting the first of two transesterification reactions that mediate splicing. The record is from Ensembl.
GUGUAGUAUCUGUUCUUAUCAGUUUAAUAUCUGAUACGUCCUCUAUCCGAGGACAAUAUAUUAAAUGGAUUUUUGGAACUAGGAGUUGGAAUAGGAGCUUGCUCCGUCCACUCCACGCAUCGACCUGGUAUUGCAGUACUUCCAGGAACGGUGC